GACAGAGGUCCCGAGCGUUAGGCGGAAUCACUGGGCUUAAAGCGUGUGUAGGCGGAUUUGUAAGUACCUUGUGAAAUCCCACGGCUCAGCCGUGGAACUGCUUGGUAUACUGCUUAUCUUGGGCCAUCUAGGGGCGAGCGGAACAAACGGUGGAGCGGUGAAAUGCGUAGAUAUCGCUUGGAACGCCAAUGGUGAAAACAGCUCGCUGGGGAUGUGCCGACGCUGAGACACGAAAGCCAGGGGAGCGAACGGG
RNAcentral lists this ribosomal RNA (253 nucleotides) under uncultured bacterium. RNAcentral's name for it is "partial 16S ribosomal RNA". It matches the Rfam family "Bacterial small subunit ribosomal RNA", at positions 524 to 776 of the family's 1533-position model. The record is from RNAcentral.